RNAcentral lists this transfer RNA (69 nucleotides) under Ictidomys tridecemlineatus (thirteen-lined ground squirrel). RNAcentral's name for it is "Spermophilus tridecemlineatus (thirteen-lined ground squirrel) tRNA". It matches the Rfam family "tRNA". Rfam says of the family: Transfer RNA (tRNA) molecules are approximately 80 nucleotides in length. The record is from Rfam by way of RNAcentral. Lineage: Eukaryota; Metazoa; Chordata; Mammalia; Rodentia; Sciuridae.
GGGGCUAUAGCUCAGUGGUAGAGCGCUUGCCUAGAAAGUAUGAGGCCCUGAGUUCGAUCCUCAGCACCA